GUGUGCCUACGGGGGGCAGCAGUGAGGAAUAUUGGUCAAUGGGCUUACGCCUGAACCAGCCAAGUCGCGUGAGGGAAGACUGCCCUAUGGGUUGUAAACCUCUUUUGUCAGGGAGCAAUUGGCGCUACGUGUAGCGUUAUCGAGAGUACCUGAAGAAAAAGCAUCGGCUAACUCCGUGCCAGCAGCCGCGGUAAUACGGAGGAUGCGAGCGUUAUCCGGAUUUAUUGGGUUUAAAGGGUGCGCAGGCGGAGGUGCAAGUCAGCGGUCAAAUUGCGGGGCUCAACCCCGUACUGCCGUUGAAACUG
Molecule: ribosomal RNA, 305 nt
Filed under: uncultured bacterium
Lineage: Bacteria
Description: bacterial SSU rRNA
Rfam family: Bacterial small subunit ribosomal RNA
Source: RNAcentral